Long non-coding RNA from Vicia villosa (hairy vetch), 362 nucleotides. RefSeq lists it as uncharacterized. Lineage: Eukaryota; Viridiplantae; Streptophyta; Magnoliopsida; Fabales; Fabaceae. The transcript is spliced from 4 exons. The record is from RefSeq and is a predicted model, not a curated record.
UUGAUUUCCCAUCCUUCAAUUUUGGCAGGCUCUAAGCCAAACUGAUGGAAGAUGGCGCUACAGCUCUGAUAAUCCAGAGUCUAGUACCUAUGCUGCUGGAUUAGCUCUCGAAGCUCUUAGUGGAGUGAUUUCACUUGCAUCUUCUGAAAUCGAUCAGAGUAAGGUCAAUAUAGUAAAAACUGGUAUAGUAAAGCUAUUUGACAGCAUCGAGAAAUAUGAUAUUUGUGGCUUCUAGAUUGAAUCUGCACUGUGUGGUUAUUGGAGGUGGUCAUAUAGGGGUGGAAUUUAGUGGUGAAUUGAGUGAUUUCAUCACGAAAGUCUUUGCCACUCAAGUUUUAAACUACGUCUUCUACAUAUCUAAA